AGAGUUUGAUCCUGGCUCAGGACGAACGCUGGCGGCGUGCCUAAUACAUGCAAGUCGAGCGAGUCCUUCGGGGCUAGCGGCGGACGGGUGAGUAACACGUAGGCAACCUGCCUGUAAGACUGGGAUAACUAGCGGAAACGUUAGCUAAUACCGGAUAAGUAGAAGAGAGGCAUCUUUCUUCCUGGAAAGGCGGAGCAAUC
Molecule: ribosomal RNA, 200 nt
Filed under: uncultured bacterium
Lineage: Bacteria
Description: partial 16S ribosomal RNA
Rfam family: Bacterial small subunit ribosomal RNA
Source: RNAcentral